CAGCAGGGACGGAAACAUCCUGCUGAAGAAACAAGUGCUGCUUACUGUCAGAGAGUGUCGGGUGGAGGUGGAGGUGGGGGCGGAGUCUGUCCAGCUGCCCUUCAAAACCACAGCUCAGCUGCCUGAAGACACUCAGGUGGAGUGGUGGCACCGUCCUGAGAAGCCUGACAAACAGGAGCGGGAUUACAGAGACCGAGUGAAGAUGAAGGACGAGCGUGUGAAAAGCGGACGGUUCAGCCUGACCCUUGAACGCCCCACAGAGAGAGACAGUGGCAGAUACAGCUGUGUGGCCUGGAGCCAGGGAAACAUCAUCGGAUGGAGAGUCGUGCUGCUCACAGUUACAGGGAGAGAUCAGCACAUCAGGAACAGAAGCAGCUCCAUUGAUCCGACUCCUCUGAUGGCUGAAGUUUGAUCUGUGUUCCUUUGUUAUUGAUCAGUGAUGUCAGAGUGGAGUCAGUGUGAUGCUAUCAGUUAUACUGGAAACACUUUGCUUCAGUUUCUCCUACUGAUCAGUUUCUGUCUUGACUCUGUUUAAAGCUUUGUGAGUGUCGGUGGGCAGUGAGCAUGAGUGGGAGCCGUGGACGCUGCUGCAGGAAGGCUGCAUGUCAUUUAUUUGUAUGAGUUUAAUCCAUUAAAGUUAAUAAAGAGCUACUCGGAUGUUG
This is a long non-coding RNA of Oreochromis aureus, 662 nucleotides long. RefSeq lists it as uncharacterized. NCBI's taxonomy places the organism in Eukaryota, Metazoa, Chordata, Actinopteri, Cichliformes, Cichlidae. The transcript is spliced from 3 exons. The record is from RefSeq and is a predicted model, not a curated record.